GACGAACGCUGGCGGCGUGCUUAACACAUGCAAGUCGAACGGAAAGGCCCCUUCGGGGGUACUCGAGUGGCGAACAGGUGAGUAACACGUGAGUAACCUGCCCUUGACUUCGGGAUAACUUCAGGAAACUGGGGCUAAUACCGGAUAGGAAUCCUUGCUGCAUGGUGGGGGUUGGAAAGCUUCGGCGGUUUUGGAUGGACUCGCGGCUUAUCAGCUUGUUGGUGGGGUAGUGGCUUACCAAGGCUUUGACGGGUAGCCGGCCUGAGAGGGCGACCGGCCACAUUGGGACUGAGAUACGGCCCAGACUCCUACGGGAGGCAGCAGUGGGGAAUAUUGCACAAUGGGCGGAGGCCUGAUGCAGCAACGCCGCGUGCGUGAUGACGGCCUUCGGGUUGUAAACCGCGUUCAGCAGGGGCGAAGCUUGUGGUGACGGUACCUGCAGAAGAAGCACCGGCUAACUACGUG
This 465-nucleotide ribosomal RNA is filed under the name uncultured bacterium. RNAcentral describes it as "partial 16S ribosomal RNA". It matches the Rfam family "Bacterial small subunit ribosomal RNA", at positions 28 to 507 of the family's 1533-position model. The record is from RNAcentral.